AGAGUUUGAUCCUGGCUCAGAAUCAACGCUGGCGGCGCGCUUAACACAUGCAAGUCGCACGAGAAAGGGGAGCAAUCCCUGAGUACAGUGGCGCACGGGUGAGUAACACGUGGGUAACCCACCCUUGGCACCGGGAUAGCCCGGGGAAACCCGGAUUAAUACCGGAUGGCCCGACAGCCCCUCGGGGCGGCCGGGAAAGGUAGCUUCGGCCUCCGGCCAAGGACGGGCCCGCGGCGGAUUAGCUUGUUGGUGAGGUAACGGCUCACCAAGGCGACGAUCCGUAGCUGGUCUGAGAGGACGAUCAGCCACACUGGGACUGAGACACGGCCCAGACUCCUACGGGAGGCAGCAGUAGGGAAUAUUGCGCAAUGGGCGAAAGCCUGACGCAGCAACACCGCGUGGAGGAUGACGUUUCUAGGAACGUAAACUCCUGUCGGCAGGGAAUAAUUUUGACUGUACCUGCAAAGGAAGGACCGGCUAACUACGUGCCAGCAGCCGCGGUAAUAC
RNAcentral lists this ribosomal RNA (507 nucleotides) under uncultured bacterium. Its description in RNAcentral is "bacterial SSU rRNA". It matches the Rfam family "Bacterial small subunit ribosomal RNA", at positions 8 to 526 of the family's 1533-position model. The record is from RNAcentral.